RNAcentral lists this unclassified non-coding RNA (303 nucleotides) under uncultured fungus. RNAcentral describes it as "sequence contains ITS1". The stretch from base 1 to 102 matches the Rfam family "5.8S ribosomal RNA", at positions 50 to 154 of the family's 154-position model. The record is from RNAcentral. Lineage: Eukaryota; Fungi.
CAAAUGCGAAAUGUCGUGUGACAAGCAUUCCUCGUGAAUCAUCAAAUCUUUGAACGCACCUUGCACCCGGUGUCAGUACCGGGUAUACAUGUUUGAGUAUCGCGACAACGAUCACCGGCAACGAGUGAAGGAUGAGGUUUAGUGGUCAGGUACUAUGCCUUGAAAUGCAUGUGCUACGUAAGUGGCGCCGGGGUGGCCGGCAGUGGGAUAUACGCAUUCGCAUUCGCAUUUGCAUUCGCUGCGAUAAGGCCACUCGCAUCACAAAUCGAUCUCAAAUCAUGCAGGAUCACCCGCUGAACUUAA